UGGAUUUCACUGCAGACAAGCAGAGAGAAGAAUUGUGAGCAUAAAUAAAGACAUUAUUUACGUUGAUGAAUUAAUUCUGCUGAAAAUAAAGAAAACGAGAAGGUAAAGCUUCUAGUGCACAGGAUUCGCUGACCUGUUGGUCGUUGUUGGUGUGAUCACUUGUGAGAUCUCUCUGGCAGGCAUGGUCAAGAAUGGAUUCUGUUGCUUCCACCUGCGCAUGGGAGAUCCUUCAACGUCUUCCAGGUCAUGGUAGCUUCGGUCAUCUGAUAGCCGCAGGACAGGAUGAUUGGGGUGUGUGUUCACUUCUUCUUCCAACAUACCAAGCCUGGCGACCGUAGAAUCACCGAGUGAAAUCACCUUCAGACAUAAAAGGUGCUUGACACCAAUAAUCCCUGACUUCAAAUUGCAGAAAUUGAUUUCUAUCCUUUCCAUCUGACGGGAGGUGCCCUCCUCAAAUCUAAUCUCUUUCAGGCCGUCCAUAUUCCAAAUCUCAAGUGUCCUGAGGUUCAGGAAUGCUCCCGUUCCAAACACUAGUUUCUCCCCAAGGGAUGCACGGAAGUAAAUUCGAAGGAGCAUGAGUUUUGGCAGCUCCCCAAGUAUCUCCAUGGUUUUAUCUUCCUUUAGUUGGCUAUCCCAUAAUGAAAGCUUCACCAGGUGUGUAAGAUUCCUGAACCAGUCAGUCAUCUCUCCUAUAUAUCCGGACAACAUGAGGCUCCUCAGGUGGGGAGGAGGGGAGGAAGAAGAAAUCAACCAUCCAAGUCCUCUAUCCUGGUUUUCACCGGCCCACACAGUGAGAGAACGAAGGGAAGAGAGCUUCUCAAUGGAUUCACAAAGUAUCUUACACUUUUUCUUGGAAGCCCCGGUUGUUCCCGUGGCUAGUUUUCUUAAUCGGGUGAGCUCCCCGAGCUCUUUAACUGCAUUGCUGCUAGUUCUUCUAAUGUCCACACGCUCUAGUAUCUGCAACUCUUUUAAGUUGCCAAUUCCUCUUGGAACCCUCACUCCAUUUCUGCUAGUUCUGGACCAACCACUAGAGCAGCCCAUGUGUAGAUCACCAAUUGCUCUGUCACGGCUUUUUGAAUCAGCUAAUAGGAUUGGCAGGCGCAAUGUGGCAAACAAACAAUGCACUGGUUCAUCUGGAUCCAAGUAGUUAGGGAAAUUCCUAUCACAGCGAAUGGCACGGAGAUCUUCAAGUUUAGUGAUUUGUGUUGGCAGAGUUGUAAUAUAAGUAUACCCUAUGUUCAAAAUUUGCAAGCCAUGCAGUUUUCCAAUGUCACUCGGAAGUGAAUAGAUUGUUGACCAGUAAGUCCUGACAUCCAGAUAUUUCAAGUGACACAAUAGCACUAUAAUAUUUAUACCACCUUGUGUGAUUCUAAAAUUUUCACCCACUAAAUCCAGAACUCGUAGCAUCCUCAACCUAGGUGUAGAAAUUGAAUGUGUGAGAUCCAGAUCCAUACCACAGGACCCCUUAGUAAAUAAAGUUAAUGACCGAAUAUGCCUCCAAUCCAUGCCUUCCUUUUGGCACUUGCUGUCAUGGUAUGCAACAUGACGAAAGUUUUCAUCUGGUACAUUAUUUCCAUUACUCUGGAUUAAGUGGACAAAAUUUUCUUCUCUAGAAAUUGAGACUAUGAUAUCACGCAUGAUGUCAUGAACUCGACAAGUUUUAACACUUCCCUCCAUACCCAACCUUGAUGAUUGAAUCAUACUCCGGCUGAUUAGCUCAUCAAAGUACUCUUUGCCAACCUCAUCAAUGGUUGUCCCAACCUUUGCUCUUACAAACCCUUCUGCUAUCCAUCUACCAACCAGAUGACUUCUUUUGAUUUCAUAAUCUUCAGGGAAAAUGCUGAGAUACAGAAGACAUGGCUUAAGACAUGACGGCAAGUGGUUGUAGCUGAGGGUUACCACCCUCCUUAUUGCUUCAAGGCUUGGGUUACUUUCAAGCUCUGAAGGGAGUUUUUGAUAAAAGUUUUCCCACUCUGCUUUCUUCUUAGUGGCUAGAACACCUCCUAUUGUGAGUAUUGCCAAUGGUAAAUAUCCACACUUCUUUACUACUUUUGUAACUAUUGUGCUCAGGUUCUUGUCUUUGUCCAUUUCUUCAUGUGUUAUGUUUGUCUUUCGUUGUAGCAACUUCAUGGCAUCAUCUAUUUCUAGGGGUUUUAGGUCGUAGAUGAGUAAUUCUGAAGUACAGUGUCUUGCCAAGGCAGCAUCUCUGGUAGUAACAAUUAUCCGACUACCUUUGUUAUUUGACCUAGGAAGUGCAAUACCACUAAUCCAAUUCCAAUGAUUUAUUUCCCAUAGGUCAUCAUAAACAAUAAAGUACCUCUUGUCUUGAAGCUGUGUUCUGAGGUAGCUAGCAAGACGGUCUUCUAGCACUUUCCCGACAAGUUGUUCCAAGAGUUUCUUCAAUGCAUCAGGUCCAAAAAAUUGAC
RNAcentral lists this long non-coding RNA (2426 nucleotides) under Sorghum bicolor (sorghum). RNAcentral's name for it is "long non-coding RNA (SBIC_LNC007605)". The record is from RNAcentral. Lineage: Eukaryota; Viridiplantae; Streptophyta; Magnoliopsida; Poales; Poaceae.